GAGGGUACAGCCCAAUGGUAGAGUGUGUGCCUAGCAUGCACAAGGUCCCAGGUUCAAUCCCCAGUACCUCCU
RNAcentral lists this transfer RNA (72 nucleotides) under Camelus bactrianus (Bactrian camel). It matches the Rfam family "tRNA". From Rfam's summary of the family: Transfer RNA (tRNA) molecules are approximately 80 nucleotides in length. Their secondary structure includes four short double-helical elements and three loops (D, anti-codon, and T loops). RNAcentral also lists the same sequence under 1 other name. The record is from Rfam by way of RNAcentral. Lineage: Eukaryota; Metazoa; Chordata; Mammalia; Artiodactyla; Camelidae.